This 442-nucleotide ribosomal RNA is filed under the name uncultured bacterium. RNAcentral's name for it is "SSU rRNA". It matches the Rfam family "Bacterial small subunit ribosomal RNA", at positions 26 to 518 of the family's 1533-position model. The record is from RNAcentral.
AGAGCGAACGCUGGCGGCAGGCCUAACACAUGCAAGUCGAGCGCCCCGCAAGGGGAGCGGCAGACGGGAGAGUAACACGUGGGAACGUGCCCUUUGGUUCGGAACAACACAGGGAAACUUGUGCUAAUACCGGAUAAGCCCUUACGGGGAAAGAUUUAUCGCCAAAGGAUCGGCCCGCGUCUGAUUAGCUAGUUGGUGAGGUAACGGCUCACCAAGGCUACGAUCAGUAGCUGGUUUGAGAGGAUGAUCAGCCUCACUGGGACUGAGACACGGCCCAGACUCCUACGGGAGGCAGCAGUGGGGAAUAUUGGACAAUGGGCGCAAGCCUGAUCCAGCCAUGCCGCGUGGGUGAUGAAGGCCCUAGGGUUGUAAAGCCUUUCGGCGGGAAGAUAAUGACGGUACCCGCAGAAGAAGCCCCGGCUAACUUCGUGCCAGCAGCCGC